CUUUAAUCAUUUAAAUCAAUUUUGUUUAAGGUUCUCAAACAAGCUCAAUCUCAAUAAGUUCUGAAGUUUCAAUUCUCAAAACUUGAAUUGGAUUAUCCGCCAGGCUCAAAGAGAAUAGAAGAGAAUAGAAAAGGAGAGAGAGAGAGUAUGGGGAGGGCGGAAAUGAAUCGUCACUGCUCUCUGAUUGGAGUGGUAAUGUCACAUCACAAGCCUUUCCCCUGUCGCGAGAACACAUCCACGGAAAUUAAUUUGGACGCUCGAGCAUCGUUAGCCCACUAAUUUCAUCUUUCAAUUAAGCACAUGCGGAAGCGUGCUCAUUAGAUCAAAUGAUUUCAUUUACAUGUCCACUUAGUUGGACUAUUCUGAUUACAACCAAAAAGGGGAUAAGGGAGUUAGUCCUAACUCCUCUGCAAUAGCGAUUAUCAAAAGUGAUUCUCAUCAAAAGACCGACUCCUCACAGCUCAAGCUCGGGAUCUUAGUUGAGGUCGGAGUCGACGUCAUCUAUGGUGCCAUUGGAAGUAUUCGCCAUCGAACCAUUGGGGCCACCAGGCGGACCAUCAAACCCACAGAGGGGCCCAAAGAUCUCGUCGAUCCACAUGAAUCAUGACUCAUAUAGAUGAGGAACCAGGCAACCUAAGCCCUCAUCAACCCACAUCAAGGUAGUGUGCUUUUAGUAUGUAAUAUCAGACAUCACGUCCUCUAUAUUAAGCAUCAUGAUUCCCAUCUAUACAGGUAACCUGAGUUGGAUCGGAGGGAAACUCAUAUCUAUGGGCUUGAAAAGGAUAAAAUAACAACGAAUGAGUUGAAAACUCAAUAAAUAAAUUGCCUAAACCUCAUAUAAACGGAUGCCUCAUAUCGGAACCAUGCGAGUACUCAAAGCCAACAUGUUGAUGGCAAAUCAAUAGCAAAGCCCUCGCUUUGCCUUAAACUAUGCAUAUGAAGGAAAGUUCUCAACUACCUAAAACACUAGUAUGAUCAAGAAUUCUACACAUGCCAAAUAAUAACUUCUAUUGUAUACAUGUGCUUCUCAAGUCCUAAAUAAUAAAGUAUAAAAUAAGCAUGUGCCUCUCAAGUCAUAAAUAAUAGCAUAUAAAAUUUGCACUUAACAAAUAAUAGCUUCUAAAAUGCUCACGUGAUGUUCAAGCACCGCUGUAAGUCCAAUCCGGUUCAGAAACAAUACGCCUUAACAUCGCUGAACCAAGAGAGAGCAACUCAACCUGGCAUGCUUCCACACAUGUCCAAACGAACGUGAAUCUCUUUUCGGAGGCUCAGGGAGUGUUUUCAAGCGUUCACAGUGACGUAUAUAAGAGCUACCUUCAAUAAACAACAACAAAACCUUAAAAUCAAGGAUAUGCGAUGAGUCAUAGACGAACCACAACCAAUAGUAGCAACAAAUCCUUAUAGCCAAACUUAGACAAUAACAUAUAAAUGAACCUCAUCCAAUAAUAACAACGAUCUUUUGUAGCCAGGUAUGGACGUGAACAUAUAACACGCGUUUCCACUAACAACAACAAACAUUGAAACCUUGACUAUCAUAUGACAAGUUCUCACCUAUUCACGAGCUUUAUAACUCAAACAAAUCAAAAGCAAACUUUACAAAGUUAGUAUGUGGUUCUAAUCUACCUAGGAUGGUUCGACUUUACUUAACAACAAAAACAAACCAAACCUACAUCCAAGCUACGCAACAUAACAGCCUAGCCAAUGUUUAGGGGAUCUACUUACUAAACAAGGACAAGAACGAAGACGAAUGGCGGCUCACGACUCACAGUGAGCAAACGGCAAUGAUGACAUAGUGAGCAGAUGGCGAUGGUAGCUCACGGUGGGUGAUAGUGAGGAGGCCGAGAGAGGGGCGUGUAAGGGAGAAGGAGAGAGGCAAAUGUAAAGAGAAAGCAAAGUGAACUUGGGGAAAAAGUAAGAGGGAGAGAGAGAGAGAGAUGGGUUCUAAGGAUAUACAUGUGAAAUUCAAUUAUAGGCUAAGUAAUGAUGGCUAAUGAUGGUUUUCUUGGCUUAGUUAGAAAGAUUGAAUCUCCAUCUUUCAAGUGUCACAAUUAGGGUUAAUCUUAACCAAGUUUAUCCUUCAAGCUUUAAUGGUUGAAUUAUUACAUAGUUUCAAAGGUAACUAUCCUAGUUACACAAACUAGACCUAUUUCUCCUCCCUUUCUCCUUGAAGUGGCACCUAGUCGAACUUUAGUUCUCCCUCAACUUAUCUUCAAGAAGCUAUGUAAGUCUCACCUUUAGGGUUAUUAUAGCCCAAAUCCCUACAUAAGCACAUGUCUCAACUUCUUGCACUUAUGCACUAUCUUAAAAAAUCUAAGGAUAGGUUUAAACCUUACAAGAUAAUAAACCUUGCAAGAUAACUUGAUCCCCAAGUUCCUCCCUAUUGAGGCAUGUGAGGGGGGCUUCAUUGGCUUCCAAGAAUUGUUUACUCUCAUUUGAUCCAAAUUCAAGAGGACAAAAGAUCAUUAAGAGGAGUAUCUGAAUAUCUUUUAAAUCGGACAUGAAUGUCUUAUAAUCAACCAUGAUUGACACCUAUAAUCGGACCAAGGUUUAUGGCUAAGUUUUGAUCAGAAGUGGCCCUAAUGCGGCCUACAUGAAUUGGGCAGAUUUGGCGAUGCUUGAGUGGCUAGAUCCAAGCCUAAGUUGGCACUUGUCUAGGGUUUUGUGCGUGACCCAUGGUUGGUUCACUAACCCAUAGUUGAGCUUGGUCAAUCCAUGAAUAACCCUUGGUUAUCAUAUAAUCGUAUAAGAUCGAUUGACCUGCCUUGACCCAUGGUCACACGGAAUCGAAUUAGGUCAUUCACAAAUGAUACAGUGGUCGUGCGGAGUCACUCGCUGCUAGUAUAUACUCAAGUUGAAUCAAUCUAUACUGGUCAAUUGAUCAACUCAUGACAGCACAUGAUCAUCAACAUCAAUCCUUAUGAUCAAGCGGUCUCCUCAUAAUCAAACGUUUUGGUCUAACAUAACCCUGAUCCUAAGUUGCCUUGCUCCAAUCAAUCAAUUGGCUCAUGAACAAACUCUAGGAUUGAUUCAAAGCCCAUUCUCAUUAUUAGCAUACUAGUCCUUAGUCUAUUCCUCGCAUCUAAGAUAGGGGUCCGAAUCAAGGAUGUCACAGGGAAACCCUCACUAGGGGUGUACCUAGCUCUUCCUAAGGCAAACAAACCUAGCUAGAGACAUGCUUCGUGAUUACAAGGAUUGCCAUCUCUUACGCAUAGCCAAGAGUGUUCCUCCAACCUCAUAGCGGUCUGUCCCCACGUUCUUUGUAAAAAAGCUAAAAUAAACGGUUCUAAAUUAUAUAAAUAAUCGACUUAUCCGUUCUUGAUUAUUCUGCCUUCUUUAUUUUAUUUAUCUCUUGACCGUUGGCCAUCUUUAGGCAACGCGAGUGGCGAUCCAUGCCGUCCUUACAAGGCUCAUUGACAUGGAGACGUCACACACAUCCAAUUUUAAGACGUUUAUAUUAUCUAAGAACUCCUUGGAGCGUUUUCUCUUAUUUAUCAAUCGUGAGUUGCCGACGAAGAAUGAACCUACACCUGAUCAUCUUGUCCAGUUACUCCCCUUUUCUCGCACCAUGACACUGAAAAUUGCUCCUUGAUAUUUAUUUGUUCUUUAGUCAAAAAUGAAUCUUUUAUUGAUAUCAGUGAAAACUUCUAUUGGUUGGUUCCGGUAAAAUAUCCAUUUCCAAUUGAGUAGCCUUUUUAGGGAAGCCAAACAGUUGAAUGGAAAGUAUUUGUUUUUAAGUUGCAUAUGCAACUUGUUACUAUUGUUGUACAUUUGUACUAUUAAGAU
This 3783-nucleotide long non-coding RNA is filed under the name Eucalyptus grandis. Its description in RNAcentral is "long non-coding RNA (EGRA_LNC002727)". Lineage: Eukaryota; Viridiplantae; Streptophyta; Magnoliopsida; Myrtales; Myrtaceae. The record is from RNAcentral.